Molecule: long non-coding RNA, 1475 nt
Organism: Camellia sinensis
Lineage: Eukaryota; Viridiplantae; Streptophyta; Magnoliopsida; Ericales; Theaceae
Source: RefSeq, a predicted model, not a curated record
GAUUCAUAUUAAUAAAAUUAGGAAUAAUUAAAUUAAAGAUUUAAUUUGAGAUUAAUUGGAAGAAUUAAGUUAAGUAGUAAUUAUUUGGAUUAAGUUGUGAUUAACUAACCUAAUACAUAAUUAGUGAAUAAACCAAUUGUAAAUAAUUAAAUAUAAGAAAUGCAAAGGGUUGGAUGUGUUCUGGAAAGUUUGAGAGGGUGUGUUUGUGUAUAUGUGUGCUGGUGAGCUCAUGAAUAUCCAUUUGGCUCAAAACAUUUUGUAGAGAGAGAGAGAGAGAGAGAGAGAGCUCAUUGUGCUGAAGAACAAAGAUGAGAGAAGAAGAAUUCAAGUUUUGUGCUGGAAAAUUGAAGGACGAACACUAGAAACUCAAUAAAGUUCUAGGCUGCCUGAAAUUCUGAGGAACCAAGUUCAAAGCUCGAGCAGUGAAAGGACCGCUCGAGCGGAGACCCUGUAUCAGCCAAGUUUUGAAAACUAACUUUGAUAAUAUUUUCUUUCUCAUUUGUUUCCAAGUAUCUUUAGGCAUGAAUUAAAUCUAAUUAAGAGUUAAGUAAGUUAGGAAUUAACAUAAAUUACUUGAUUAGAAAACCAAAGGAAGAAUUUAAUUAAAUUAAUUAGAAACGAAAUGUAGGUUCAAUUAAUUGUAAUUUGUUACCGAUGUUUAUGUGUAUAUGCAUCACGUAGGUCAGACCAUAGCAUUAUCGGGACCAAGCCCACUGUGAGUAGUAAUUUAGUAACGCUAUAUUUGACAAAUUAUGUUUUCAAUACCAAACUUGGUUAUGUUUACAAGUUUAUUAUGUUUUAUUAUGAAUGAACAUUCUAUACUUUUUGUAUUAUGUACCCAGAUGGCAUUCUUGUACCUUGUCCCAUGAUUGGGGAAAUAUCCAAUCACCUUGGACCUUGUCCCACGAUUGGGGGAAUAUCCAAUCACCUUGAUAUGGCCGAGCUCAUCUUGUUACGUUUAGCUGGUACCCAGUCGGUUAAGCACCUUGUUUUCCUUGAAUGCUCAUCACUAUGUAUUUUGUUUGCAAGUCAAGUUAUGCUUUGUCUUGUACAAGAAAUUAUGUUAUUUUGAAAGAAUGUUUUUAAAGUUUUCAAUGUUCAUUCAUUUACCGCCUUACUUUAUUACUAUUCAUUGAGCUUUAGCUCACUCCUUUCCCAUAUAUAUAUAUGUGUGUGUAUAGGUGAGCAACACGAAGAGCAACCUUAGAGUUUGCAUUUGAAGACCCUUGAAAAAGCCUAUUGGGAAUUGUCGCUUGAGUUGAGUCUAUUGUUUACUUUCUUUUGGGACAAAUUUUGAAGAGUCUACACCAUGCAAUUGUGUCUUGUGAAUGGUUGUAUUUUAUUUAAUUGUGUGGGUAAUGUAAUAGUAAUAUAUGUAAUACUUUCAUGUUAGUUACGCACUGCUCAAUGGACAAGUUUAUUUUUCUGAUUAGUUGUUGUGAAAAUAAAAAAAAAAAACCAUCCAUUUGUAACCC